GUGUGAUUUUCGAGCUAAACCCUCUAGCUAACACCCUCACUCGGCCUUGCAUGGCUGAACGUAUGUUCAGCAGCAGGAAAGAUUCUCAAGGACCAUUAUUUAAAGGGAUCAUCAGCUACUUACAGUUGCUGUCUGAAGUUGAACGAGACCGUUCACAACUUUAGCAUCCUAUCUGACUCCAAGGUGAGCCUCUGACCACAUAGCCUCUCCAUCACCAAGACCACCAAUUCCAACAAUAAGAACACAAAAUACUGGAAAAAUGCAGGACAGGCAGCAGCUGUGGAGAGAAACAGAGUUAAAGUUUCAGGUGAAAAUUCAGCAGCUGUAACCACCAACCC
Carcharodon carcharias (great white shark) is the source of this 338-nucleotide long non-coding RNA. RefSeq lists it as uncharacterized. The record is from RefSeq and is a predicted model, not a curated record. Lineage: Eukaryota; Metazoa; Chordata; Chondrichthyes; Lamniformes; Lamnidae. The transcript is spliced from 3 exons.